AUUGAACGCUGGCGGCAGGCCUAACACAUGCAAGUCGAGCGGAUGAAGGGAGCUUGCUCCUGGAUUCAGCGGCGGACGGGUGAGUAAUGCCUAUGAAUCUGCCUGGUAGUGGGGGAUAACGUCCUGAAACGGGCGCUAAUACCGCAUACGUCCUGAGGGAGAAAGUGGGGGAUCUUCGGACCUCACGCUAUCAGAUGAGCCUAGGUCGGAUUAGCUAGUUGGUGGGGUAAAGGCCUACCAAGGCGACGAUCCGUAACUGGUCUGAGAGGAUGAUCAGUCACACUGGAACUGAGACACGGUCCAGACUCCUACGGGAGGCAGCAGUGGGGAAUAUUGGACAAUGGGCGAAAGCCUGAUCCAGCCAUGCCGCGUGUGUGAAGAAGGUCUUCGGAUUGUAAAGCACUUUAAGUUGGGAGGAAGGGCAGUAAGUUAAUACCUUGCUGUUUUGACGUUACCAACAGAAUAAGCACCGGCUAACUUCGUG
RNAcentral lists this ribosomal RNA (484 nucleotides) under uncultured bacterium. RNAcentral describes it as "partial 16S ribosomal RNA". It matches the Rfam family "Bacterial small subunit ribosomal RNA", at positions 30 to 507 of the family's 1533-position model. The record is from RNAcentral.